AUUCCAGCUCCAAUAGCGUAUAUUAAAGUUGUUGCAGUUAAAAAGCUCGUAGUUGGACUUCUGGGCCGUUUUGUUGGUCUGCCGCAAGGCUGUACUAGCGGGAUGGCCCAUCCUCUCGAAGGCUGGAGGUGCUCUUAACUGGGUGCUUUCAGAACUCGGGAUCUUUACUUUGAAAAAAUUAGAGUGUUCAAAGCAGGCUUACGCUUGAAUACAUUAGCAUGGAAUAAUGGAAUAGGACUUUGGUUCUAUUUUGUUGGUUUCUAGAACUGAAGUAAUGAUUAAUAGGGAUAGUUGGGGGCAUUAGUAUUUAAUUGUCAGAGGUGAAAUUCUUGGAUUUAUGAAAGACUAACUUCUGCGAAAGCAUUUGCCAAGGAUGUUUUCAUUG
This 385-nucleotide ribosomal RNA is filed under the name Choanoflagellata sp. Its description in RNAcentral is "partial small subunit ribosomal RNA". It matches the Rfam family "Eukaryotic small subunit ribosomal RNA", at positions 582 to 975 of the family's 1831-position model. The record is from RNAcentral. Lineage: Eukaryota; Choanoflagellata.